UACGUAGGGUGCGAGCGUUACUCGGAAUUACUGGGCGUAAAGCGUGCGCAGGCGGUAAGUUAAGUCUGAUGUGAAAGCCCCGGGCUCAACCUGGGAAUGGCAUUGGAAACUGGCUUGCUGGAGUGUGGCAGAGGGGGGUGGAAUUCCGCGUGUAGCAGUGAAAUGCGUAGAGAUGCGGAGGAACACCGAUGGCGAAGGCAGCCCCCUGGUCCAACACUGACGCUCAGGCACGAAAGCGUGGGGAGCAAACAGG
This 253-nucleotide ribosomal RNA is filed under the name uncultured bacterium. Its description in RNAcentral is "partial 16S ribosomal RNA". It matches the Rfam family "Bacterial small subunit ribosomal RNA", at positions 524 to 776 of the family's 1533-position model. The record is from RNAcentral.